RNAcentral lists this unclassified non-coding RNA (1830 nucleotides) under Hevea brasiliensis (rubber tree). The record is from RNAcentral. Lineage: Eukaryota; Viridiplantae; Streptophyta; Magnoliopsida; Malpighiales; Euphorbiaceae.
UUUUUUUAAGGGUUUUAACUAAAUGCUUUUCACCAACCAAAACCAUCUAAUAUAAAUGGCAGAAAAUUGCAACAAAUACAAACCUCAAAAAAUGAAGAAAAAUAGAGAAAAAAAAAAAAUAAAUGAACAUUCAAACCUUUUAUCAAUUAAUUAAUCUUGUUCCUCUUCCUCCUCAGCCAUUACCAUUCUACUAAGAGGGCUAGGUCCAAGCUUUUUUCUUCUCAUCAUACUUCUCUUUCUAAUAACUUCCAUUUGAUUUCUCCUCCUAACUUGCAUCAUUGCCUCUUCUUCAACAACAAAUCUCCUCAUCAAAACAUCAUCUGUCAAUGAUUUCCCUCUAAAAACCCUUCUUCCUUCUGUGCUAAGUCUUGCAGUACUUUGCAUUAUUCUUUCUUGUGAAGCAGCAAAUGAUUUUGAUCUAGGGUAACUAUUGCUUCUUCUAGGAGGAACAUCAGCUCUAAAAACUUCAUUGUAGGAAGAUAUUGGAGCACAAAGACAUACUCUAGUAAAUGAAGUAGCAACCCUAAGGGAAGUGCAUUUUCUCAACUUCCCUCUAUUAGGGUUUGCUCUAGUUGCCGUAGUCAUCGACGUCGUCGACGACGGAAGAUCCGUGGAUUUGGAAAUGGUUUUCCACAAUGUCGCAUUUGUUGUUGGAAGUUCUGUUGGCUUGGAAACUGUUUUCCAUAAUGUGCCAUUUGAUGAUGGUGGAAUUUCUGUGGACUUGGAAAUUGUCUUCCAUUGAGUAGCCAUUUGUAUUGCUCUUUGAUACCAAGGCUUCCUUUUGGCAAUUGUGUAAGAGGCAUGCUGCCUUGAAAUUGUCAUUUGGAGUGAUCACUGAUGGCUUAGGCUUUUACAUAAAUCAUAUGAACCUGUAUAUAUUUAUUUAUGCACUAACCUUAGCUUAGCUCAAUUACUCGUACCAUUUUCUAACAAAUUCAAGAAACACACAGUAAUGCAUGUCUAGCUCUUGCCAAGAAACCAAGAAACAAAGAGUUGCUUAGUGCUUACCUUGUAAGAGAGUUCUUUGGAUCUUGCAUGAAAAAAGCCAGCUGAAGUAUGAGUAUGGAAAAGAGAAGGAUGAGGUUUUUUUCAUUUGGGUAGAUAGGGUGAGAGAGGUAGAGAGGGAGAGAGGGAAGAAGAACCCCUUUUUUGCCUUCAAUUUUGUGACUGCAAGAUGGGUUGGCAAUGUGCUUCUUUUCUUUUCUUUUCUUUCUUAAUUUUCCAAUUACCGGCAGCCAAACAGAGUUGAAGCUCCAAUUAAACUUACCAAAUAAGCCAAAUUACAAUAUUUCCAAUAUUAACAUGACUGGCUCCACAAAAAUCCAAAAUGGGCAUUUAUUGUAUAAGCUGAAUGUUUGAUCCAAUUCACUCACCUAAUUGAUAUUAUCAAGAAGUACAUAUUAUGGCCCAGAAACAACAAACCUCAUAAACUCCUAAUCCUAGAAUUGAUGUUUUUGACUCGUACAGUAGUAAUCUUAUACACUCAAAUCUGGAACUAAGAAAUAACUGACUGAGUCUGGCAGACUGAAAGUCAAUUACCUUCAGAGAAAGAAACCAACAAGGAAACUUUACUGGUAGUCAAUUUAAGCUGAAUUCAAGAUGUUCAUAGAAGAUAGAAAGAACUUACCUUCCAUGAUCCAAAGACAAAACAAUUAUCAGUCACGAGUGAAACUGAAGGAUAUCAAAGAAGAGAGAAGAAGGAAACGAGUGAAUGACGGAGAAAGUCGAGUGAAGGCUGAUGUUACUGCUAAGGGGGUCCUAAAAUGAUGCCGAUACUUUGGAGAAUGAGUGAAAACAAAGAAAAGUCACGAGAGAGAGAGAGAGAGAGAG